This is a small nuclear RNA of Drosophila santomea, 185 nucleotides long. RefSeq annotates it as U2 spliceosomal RNA. Lineage: Eukaryota; Metazoa; Arthropoda; Insecta; Diptera; Drosophilidae. The transcript has a single exon. The record is from RefSeq and is a predicted model, not a curated record.
ACUGCUGCGUUGAGUCAUUUUUCGAGUGCGCAUUCUUAUCAACUUAACAUCUGAUAGUUCCUCCAUUGGAGGACAACAAAUGUUAAACUGAUUUUUGGAAUCAGACGGAGUGCUAGGAGCUUGCUCCACCUCUGUCGCGGGUUGGCCCGGUAUUGCAGUACCGCCGGGAUUUCGGCCCAACUGAA